This 253-nucleotide ribosomal RNA is filed under the name uncultured bacterium. Its description in RNAcentral is "partial 16S ribosomal RNA". It matches the Rfam family "Bacterial small subunit ribosomal RNA", at positions 524 to 776 of the family's 1533-position model. The record is from RNAcentral.
CACGUAGGGCGCAAGCGUUGUCCGGAAUUAUUGGGCGUAAAGAGCUCGUAGGCGGUCUGUUGCGUCCGCUGUGAAAACUCGGGGCUUAACCCCGAGCCUGCAGUGGAUACGGGCAGACUAGAGGUAGGUAGGGGAGAAUGGAAUUCCCGGUGUAGCGGUGAAAUGCGCAGUUAUCGGGAGGAACACCGGUGGCGAAGGCGGUUCUCUGGGCCUUACCUGACGCUGAGGAGCGAAAGCGUGGGGAGCGAACAGG